Molecule: ribosomal RNA, 216 nt
Filed under: uncultured bacterium
Lineage: Bacteria
Description: partial 16S ribosomal RNA
Rfam family: Bacterial small subunit ribosomal RNA
Source: RNAcentral
UACGUAGGGGGGCAAGCGUUGUCCGGAUUUAUUGGGCGUAAAGAGCGUGUAGGCGGCUUUGCAAGUCCGUUGUGAAAACUCGAGGCUCAACCUCGAGACGCCGGUGGAAACUGCAAAGCUAGAGUCCGGAAGAGGAGAGUGGAAUUCCUGGUGUAGCGGUGAAAUGCGCAGAUAUCAGGAAGAACACCCGUGGCGAAGGCGGCUCCUCUGGGACGG